GAUGAAGAACGUAGCGAAAUGCGAUACGUAAUGUGAAUUGCAGAAUUCAGUGAAUCAUCGAGUCUUUGAACGCACAUUGCGCCCCCUGGUAUUCCGGGGGGCAUGCCUGUCCGAGCGUCAUUGCUGCCCUCAAGCACGGCCUGUGUGUUGGGCCUCCGUCCUCCUCCCGGGGGACGGGCCCGAAAGGCAGCGGCGGCACCGCGUCCGGUCCUCGAGCGUAUGGGGCUUCGUCACCCGCUCUUGUAGGCCCGGCCGGCGCUUGCCGACACAUCAAUCUUUUUUCCAGGUUGACCUCGGAUCAGGUAGGGAUACCCGCUGAACUUAAGCAUAUCAAUAAGCGGAGGA
Molecule: unclassified non-coding RNA, 345 nt
Filed under: soil metagenome
Description: partial contains 5.8S ribosomal RNA, internal transcribed spacer 2, and large subunit ribosomal RNA
Rfam family: 5.8S ribosomal RNA (bases 1-120)
Source: RNAcentral